Molecule: ribosomal RNA, 406 nt
Filed under: uncultured bacterium
Lineage: Bacteria
Description: partial 16S ribosomal RNA
Rfam family: Bacterial small subunit ribosomal RNA
Source: RNAcentral
AUUGAACGCUGGCGGCAGGCCUAACACAUGCAAGUCGAACGAGUGGCGGACGGGUGAGUAAUGUCUGGGAAACUGCCCGAUGGAGGGGGAUAACUACGGAAAACGGUAGCUAAUACCGCAUACCAUCGGAUGUGCCCAGAUGGGAUUAGCUAUUAGGUGGGGUAAUGGCUCACCUAGGCGACGAUCCCUAGCUGGUCUGAGAGGAUGACCAGCCACACUGGAACUGAGACACGGUCCAGACUCCUACGGGAGGAAGCGUGGGGGAAUAUUGCACAAUGGGCGCAAGCCUGAUGCAGCCAUGCCGCGUGUGUGAAGAAGGCCUUCGGGUUGUAAAGUACUUUCAGCGAGGAGGCGUUACUCGCAGAAGAAGCACCGGCUAACUCCGUGCCAGCAGCCGCGGUAAUUC